Molecule: RNA transcript, 4135 nt
Organism: Oncorhynchus nerka (sockeye salmon)
Lineage: Eukaryota; Metazoa; Chordata; Actinopteri; Salmoniformes; Salmonidae
Gene name: ataxin-2-like protein
Exons: 24
Source: RefSeq, a predicted model, not a curated record
ACGCCCCCAUCAACCCAGUCAGCCACGCGCAGUCUACAGCAUCUUUGUGGUGCCAAACCGGCGAAUUUGUUUUCCCCGACUUUUAGAAUUUGUUCAAGUUACAAAUGACAUGCAAUCGGAGUAAGCCACACGCAAGAGUAUAUCUACGGAGAGGAAACUAAAACGACGUGCUCAGUUUUAGCUACAGAAGGGACAUUACUGCUUGCUCUUCUAGCUAGCUAUAGCGUGCAGGGCUGUACUACAGUAGUCAGAUAAACUAUCGAUUGAGUUCCGAAGAGGCAAUGUCUUUUCGUCGACAGAACCAACAACCCGGUUCAUGCGGACGAAAAACCUCCAAUGGAACGGCAGGGCCAGCCGGUUUACCCCCUCAUAUCAGCGGGAGUAAUACCAACAGAGCUGUGCCUGGAAGGACAAGAAAUACAAUGAAGCCGCCAUCUCAGUCCUCUCCCGUUUUUGAAGGUGUCUACAACAACACCAGGAUGCUUCACUAUCUCACAGCUGUAGUGGGCUCCACCUGUGACGUCCGAGUGAAGAGUGGAAAUGUGUAUGAAGGCAUCUUCAAGACCCUCAGCGCAAGGUGUGAGCUGGUGGUCGACGCGGUCCACAAGAGGAGUGAGGGAGGAGAGGCGGAUGGAGACGGAGGGGGAGGCUUGCCACCCUCUCUGCCCAGGAUCGAGGAGAUCACAGACACCAUGAUCUUCAGCCCCGGCGACCUGGUCACAAUGACUUGCCGAGAUGUGGACCUCAACUACGCCAUCAGAGAUGCUUUCACAGAUACAGCCAUCAGCUCAUCGCGGGUGAACGGGGAACACCGGGAGAAGGUGCUGCAGCGGUGGGACGGAGGCGACAGCAAUGGAGAAGGCUUCGACCUGGAGACUGACACGUCUAAUGGCUGGGAUGCCAGCGAAAUGUUCAAGUUUAACGAGGAGACAUAUGGCGUCACGUCCACCUACGAUUCCAGCCUCUCCAUGUACACUGUUCCCCUGGAAAGGGGCAGCUCGGAUGGCUUUCGGCAGCGGGAGGCACGUGCGGCCCGCCUAGCGAAUGAGAUCGAGGGAAGCCCCCAGUACCGUCACCGCACCAACCUGGAGAACGACGAUAAGAGCGAGGAGGACAAGUACAGCGCCGUGGUCCGAGAGAGAGAUGAGGGGAGGGAGAGGGGCAGCCCUGGAUUCCAGAGUAGUGCCGGGAGCAGGGAGGGUAAAUACAUUCCUCUUCCCCAGAGGGCCAGGGAGAUGGGUGUGUCCCCCAGCAGCCUGAGGGGCGGAGCCUCUGGUCCAAUACCCAGUCGAACAGGAGUCCCCGGCUCUUCUAGGCCCUCCCAGGGUUCUGAUAGGAGCAGCCCGCUGUCCGUCAGGAGCGCCUACUCUCCCCACCAGUCCCAAGCCAGCCCCCCGGCCCAGCCCAGUAGCCCUACCCCCUCUUCCUCCUGUCACCCGAUCCCUCACUCCAUCUCUCACCCACAAGCUCUAGCCGAUGCCUCACGCUCUUCUGUCAACGGAGUGUCAUCCAGAACUUCUCCCAAAGCCCAGAGAUCCGUACAGACCAAUAGAACUCUGCGUAACCCAAGUUCCCAGUCCUCACCUGCAGUCUCUCGCUCUCCAAAACUAGACGACCCCGUUCUGGCUGGCCCUGCCUACCUGGACACUUCCUCCUCCUCGAUCUCCUCGGCAACACCCAAGUCCUCUGGCCCCACCCCUCUGUUCACUGUGGAUGUGAAUGAGAUCCUGAGCUCAGCGGCUAAGGAGAGGACAGAAGGCCCAGCCAGCCCUCAGGACGGCAAGAGCGGCAAAGUUCCCUCAGUCCUGCAGAGAACACAGCUGGAGGAGCUCCGGAAAUUUGGCAAAGAGUUCAGGCUCCAGCCCAGCUCCUCCCCUUCUGCUGGCCCCACUUCCUCAGAGCCCGCCCAGCCCUCCCCAUCAGACUCCGCCACCACAGCCGAGUCUAUACCCGCCCCUGGCCACACCCCCUCCCAGGACCCCCAGCCUGGAGAGGGGUCCUCCUUCACCCCGAACCCCACCACCCCUACCCUUUCUCCAGCCCCCAACACCACCUCUCAGUCAUCAGGUCCAGACAGACAGGCUGCAGGGACACCCCAGCCAGCCAGGACCCCUGGCAGCGAGGAGGGCGGCGAGCGAGUGGAGGGCGUAGCUGACCAGGUGAAGAAGUCUACGCUGAACCCCAACGCCAAAGAGUUCGUCUUCAAGGCACCCAUGACCCUGGUCUGUCUCGCUCUCACACACACACACACACACACACACACACACACAGAGAGGGAAGUAGUUGAGAACAAAUUCUCUCUCACAACAACCUGUUUGGCCAGGAGUUCAACUAUGUUCAUAACAACUCACACACCAAAUGUAACUGUGUGUGUGAUUUGUUCAACUAAACACACACACUUUAUCUCACAAACCAACCUAAACCGUGCACCUUCUCCCCAGGUGAAGCCGUCCCCAGCCCCCACCCCCCCGCGGCCUACUCCUCUCAGCCCCUCCGUGGUGCUCCAGCCCCCCCCAGGACAACAGGCCAUCUACAGCACCCCCUACCUGUCCUACCUCUCCCCCGUACAGAUACAGGGACACUCUGUACAGCCUCCCCAGAUGUAUCAGUACACCAUGUCCACAGUCCAGCAGGGGAAGUAUCCCAGAGCUAAAGGCCAGGUGGUAGGCCCUCGUCCGGACCACCACGGCUCUUCUCAGCCCCAGAUGCUCCAGGCUGCAGCAUCUGCAGCAGGCCCUCCCCUGGUGGCCUCCCCCUACCCCCAGGCCUACCUGCAGUACAGUCAGGUCAUCCAGGGCAUGCCCCACUACCCCGGACAGCCGGUGUACUCCAUGCUGCAGGGUGGGGCCAGGAUGUUGACUCAGGCAGGCCACCCCCAGGCUCUGGGCCCCCCAGGCCCUCAGUACCCCGGACAGACCGAGGGGCCCCCGGGACCACAACAGACCAUGUAUGCUCCCCAGCAGUUCUCCCACCAUUCUAGCUCCAUGCACCCUCCGCAGCCCUCCAGCACACCUACUGGUAGCCAGCCCCCUCCCCAGCACACUGCCCCCAGCCCUGGGCACGGACAGUCGGGCCAGGGAGGCCCCCAGCCCCAGUCCAUGUACCACUCUGGGCCCCUGCCAGCACCCACACCCCCUAACAUGCCCCCUGGCCACAGCUCUCCCCAGGCCUCUUACCCCAUGCAGGGCUACAGCCUGCCCACCCACCAGCCCAUGGCCCAACACUACCCCGGCCUGGGACAGCUCACACAGGCCCAUGUUGCCCAAGGUAUGUCUGGCCCCCACCACCAAGGAGGCCACGGCCCGCCCCAGAUGAUGCUGCACUACGCCCCACCCCCACAGCAAGGCCCAGGCUCCGCCCAGCAGCACGGCCCUCCUCCCCAGCAGGGGGCGCACCAACACUACUACAUCCAACACCCACAGGCUGUACAGGUGCAGGCUCACCCCACCCAGCAGCUCUCCUUCCACCCCCCUGGAAACUGACACCCCUACCUACACCUCGAGGACCACAGAAGAAGCAGGACACAGGAUGGAAGAGGGGGAGGGGAAGCUGAGGCCCCCAGUCUUUGACUGACCCAAUCAAGUUGUUCUCUGAUCGGCUAAACUGGUCUGAGAACUGAAGCCCCCUUCUGGAACCACCGCCGCCACUCUCCUCUUGCCCACAAAAUAAGCAACUUGUUUUUUACCCAGAGUCCUUUUAGUUAGAGCCCAUCAAAGGCUCCCUUUCUGCUACUCUGUUUGGGACGGAGAAAAAAAAUGGACUUAUUUUGUUUUUAUGAAAGACAGUCGUCCUCGCUAGCUGGAUCCAUAUGGCGAAAGCAUCGUCUCACAGUAGACUGAAGAGACUCUGCAGAGAAUUAUAGGAGUUAUCACAAUGAGACUUUCUCCCUUUUAACCUGACCUACUUCCUCCCCAUCUCCUUUUACAGACGAUGUCAUGAAGCAAUUCCCGGCUGCAACAAAAUAACAAGUGGGAACGGCGUAAAAACAGUCAAAUGGCUGAAUUGAGAAGCGAUUAAAGAAAAUGAAUAGGAUUAAAUGUAGUUUUUUGUUUGUUCAAUUUUAUUACCAUGACUACAAGUAUCACUGCAAUUAUGCUCCCGUAACAUGUAUUGUGACAAAAGGACAAUAUGUAAU